GGACACGUGUCGUAAUCCUCACUGCGAGAGACACGCGUCACCAGGCCGCCACGUCUUGACCGAAACACCAUCAGAGGGGCACGUGUCCUAAGAUCGAAGCCCCACCCCUUCAUCGGCAUGCAAACUCCGUCGCCGCAAUAAUCAGACCUCCACCGGAAGAGUACAACAGCUUCCGUCGGGGUCAGAGCAAAAGUGCGACCCAACUCCAC
Molecule: long non-coding RNA, 209 nt
Filed under: Brassica napus (rape)
Lineage: Eukaryota; Viridiplantae; Streptophyta; Magnoliopsida; Brassicales; Brassicaceae
Description: long non-coding RNA (BNAP_LNC025160)
Source: RNAcentral